UUAGGAAUUUUGGGCAAUGGGCGAAAGCCUGACCCAGCAACGCCGCGUGGGUGAUGAAGGCCUUCGGGUCGUAAAACCCUUUUACGGGGGAAGAAUAAUGACGGUACCCCGUGAAUAAGCCCCGGCUAACUACGUGCCAGCAGCCGCGGUGAUACGUAGGGGGCAAGCGUUGUCCGGAUUUACUGGGCGUAAAAGGCUCGUAGGUGGCUCGCCCAGUCGAGCGUGAAAUCUCCCGGCUUAACUGGGAGGGGUCGUUCGAUACUAGCGGGCUCGAGGUCGGUAGAGGGAAGCGGAAUUCCGGGUGUAGUGGUGGAAUACGUAGAUAUCCGGAGGAACACCAGUGGCGAAGGCGGCUUCCUGGACCGAUUCUGACACUGAGGAGCGAAAGCGUGGGGAGCGAUCCG
RNAcentral lists this ribosomal RNA (404 nucleotides) under uncultured bacterium. RNAcentral's name for it is "bacterial SSU rRNA". It matches the Rfam family "Bacterial small subunit ribosomal RNA", at positions 355 to 775 of the family's 1533-position model. The record is from RNAcentral.